This 156-nucleotide microRNA precursor is filed under the name Populus trichocarpa (black cottonwood). RNAcentral describes it as "MIR2912 microRNA precursor family". It matches the Rfam family "MIR2912 microRNA precursor family". The record is from Rfam by way of RNAcentral. Lineage: Eukaryota; Viridiplantae; Streptophyta; Magnoliopsida; Malpighiales; Salicaceae.
UCUAGAACUUGAGAUAUGGGAUGAACACUGAACUGUGUCUGGGCCGCAGGACAGAUUCUGACUUCUUUGUUGUUGCUACAAUUUGAACUUGAAAAUGAUCCUUUUGAUUCUUGGCCUCUUCAUAAAAGUUUGAGGCCUAUGUCUUAGCUUUCUAUC